AUAAGAUUAAGUUAUUUAGACUGAAUAUUUUCAAAAUAUUUAGAGAUUAUGUGUUAUCAUCUUAUG
RNAcentral lists this transfer RNA (66 nucleotides) under Rodentolepis nana. Its description in RNAcentral is "tRNA-Trp". Lineage: Eukaryota; Metazoa; Platyhelminthes; Cestoda; Cyclophyllidea; Hymenolepididae. The record is from RNAcentral.